RNAcentral lists this transfer RNA (64 nucleotides) under Pristomyrmex punctatus. RNAcentral's name for it is "tRNA-Pro". Lineage: Eukaryota; Metazoa; Arthropoda; Insecta; Hymenoptera; Formicidae. The record is from RNAcentral.
CAAAAAAUAGUUUAAUUAAGAAUAUUAAUUUUGGAUAUUAGGGGUGUAAACAUUAUUUUUUUGA